This 830-nucleotide ribosomal RNA is filed under the name Corynespora sp. Its description in RNAcentral is "partial large subunit ribosomal RNA". It matches the Rfam family "Eukaryotic large subunit ribosomal RNA", at positions 71 to 919 of the family's 3401-position model. Lineage: Eukaryota; Fungi; Ascomycota; Dothideomycetes; Pleosporales; Corynesporascaceae. The record is from RNAcentral.
GGGAUUGCCCUAGUAACGGCGAGUGAAGCGGCAACAGCUCAAAUUUGAAAUCUGGCCCCCUAGGGGGUCCGAGUUGUAAUUUGCAGAGGGUGCUUUGGCGUUGGCAGCGGUCUAAGUUCCUUGGAACAGGACGUCACAGAGGGUGAGAAUCCCGUACGUGGUCGCCAGCCUCCGCCGUGUAAAGCCCCUUCGACGAGUCGAGUUGUUUGGGAAUGCAGCUCUAAAUGGGAGGUAAAUUUCUUCUAAAGCUAAAUACUGGCCAGAGACCGAUAGCGCACAAGUAGAGUGAUCGAAAGAUGAAAAGCACUUUGGAAAGAGAGUCAAAAAGCACGUGAAAUUGUUGAAAGGGAAGCGCUUGCAGCCAGACUUGCCUGUAGUUGCUCAGCCGGGCUCCGGCCCGGUGCACUCUUCUGCGGGCAGGCCAGCAUCAGUUCGGGCGGCCGGAUAAAGACCUCUGUCACGUACCUCCCUCCGGGGAGGACUUAUAGGGGAGGUGAAAUGCGGCCAGUCCGGACUGAGGUCCGCGCAUCUGCUAGGAUGCUGGCGUAAUGGCUGUAAGCGGCCCGUCUUGAAACACGGACCAAGGAGUCUAACAUCUAUGCGAGUGUUUGGGUGUCAAGCCCGAGCGCGUAAUGAAAGUGAACGGAGGUGGGAACCCCUCGGGGUGCACCAUCGACCGAUCCUGAUGUCUUCGGAUGGAUUUGAGUAAGAGCAUAGCUGUUGGGACCCGAAAGAUGGUGAACUAUGCUUGAAUAGGGUGAAGCCAGAGGAAACUCUGGUGGAGGCUCGCAGCGGUUCUGACGUGCAAAUCGAUCGUCAAUUUGGGCAUA